GUCUUUUUGUUAAAAAUUUAAAGUCAGGCCUGCCCACUGAGAUUUAAAUGGCCGCAGUAUUUUGACUGUGCAAAGGUAGCAUAAUCAUUAGUUUCUUAAUUAGAAGCUGGAAUGAAGGGUUUAAUGAAAAAAUAACUGUCUCUAUUUAAAUAUAUUAAAAUUUUAUUUUUAAGUUAAAAAGCUUAAAUAUUUUUAAAAGACGAGAAGACCCUAUAGAGUUUUAUAUAAAAUAAAAAUUUAAAUUUUUAAUAUUAUUUAAUUUUGAUUUUAUUUUAUAAUUUAUUGGGAGGAUAUAAAAAUUAAAUUAACUUUUAUUAAUUAAUACCAUAAAUUUAUGAAUUAUUGAUCCAUAUUUAAUGAUUAUAAGAUAAAAUUACCUUAGGGAUAACAGCGUAAUUUUUUUUGAGAGUUCAAAUCGAUAAAAAAGAUUGCGACCUCGAUGUUGGAUUAAAAUUAAUUUUUGGUGUAGAAGCUAAAAAUUUUAGGUCUGUUCGACCUUUAGAAUUU
This 507-nucleotide ribosomal RNA is filed under the name Arhopalus unicolor. RNAcentral's name for it is "partial 16S ribosomal RNA". The stretch from base 384 to 507 matches the Rfam family "Bacterial large subunit ribosomal RNA", at positions 2473 to 2596 of the family's 2925-position model. Lineage: Eukaryota; Metazoa; Arthropoda; Insecta; Coleoptera; Cerambycidae. The record is from RNAcentral.